UAGGGAAUAUUGGGCAAUGGCCGGAAGGCUGACCCAGCCAUGCCGCGUGCAGGAAGACGGCCUUCUGGGUUGUAAACUGCUUUUAUACGGGAAGAAAAGGCCCAUGCGUGGGAAAUUGCCGGUACCGUAUGAAUAAGCACCGGCUAACUCCGUGCCAGCAGCCGCGGUAAUACGGAGGGUGCGAGCGUUGUCCGGAUUUAUUGGGUUUAAAGGGUGCGUAGGCGGCCGUUUAAGUCAGCGGUGAAAGACU
Molecule: ribosomal RNA, 250 nt
Filed under: uncultured bacterium
Lineage: Bacteria
Description: partial 16S ribosomal RNA
Rfam family: Bacterial small subunit ribosomal RNA
Source: RNAcentral